Molecule: ribosomal RNA, 497 nt
Filed under: uncultured bacterium
Lineage: Bacteria
Description: partial 16S ribosomal RNA
Rfam family: Bacterial small subunit ribosomal RNA
Source: RNAcentral
GAUGAACGCUGGCGGCGUGCCUAAUACAUGCAAGUCGAGCGAACAGAUGAGGAGCUUGCUCCUCUGACGUUAGCGGCGGACGGGUGAGUAACACGUGGAUAACCUACCUAUAAGACUGGGAUAACUUCGGGAAACCGGAGCUAAUACCGGAUAAUAUAUUGAACCGCAUGGUUCAAUAGUGAAAGACGGUUUUGCUGUCACUUAUAGAUGGAUCCGCGCCUCAUUAGCUAGUUGGUAAGGUAACGGCUUACCAAGGCAACGAUGCGUAGCCGACCUGAGAGGGGGAUCGGCCACACUGGAACUGAGACACGGUCCAGACUCCUACGGGAGGCAGCAGUAGGGAAUCUUCCGCAAUGGGCGAAAGCCUGACGGAGCAACGCCGCGUGAGUGAUGAAGGUCUUCGGAUCGUAAAACUCUGUUAUUAGGGAAGAACAAAUGUGUAAGUAACUAUGCACGUCUUGACGGUACCUAAUCAGAAAGCCACGGCUAACUACGUG